GACGGGGGGAGCUAGCGUUGUUCGGAAUAACUGGGCGUAAAGGGCGCGUAGGCGGUUUUAUAAGUUAGAUGUUAAAGACCUGGGCUCAACCUGGGGGGUGCAUUUAAGACUGUAAGACUAGAGACCAAGAGAGGAAAAUGGAAUUUCCGGUGUAGAGGUGAAAUUCGUAGAUAUCGGAAGGAACACCAGAGGCGAAGGCGAUUUUCUGGCUUGGAACUGACGCUGAGGCGCGAAAGCGUGGGGAGCGAAUAGG
Molecule: ribosomal RNA, 253 nt
Filed under: uncultured bacterium
Lineage: Bacteria
Description: partial 16S ribosomal RNA
Rfam family: Bacterial small subunit ribosomal RNA
Source: RNAcentral